UACGUAGGGCGCAAGCGUUGUCCGGAAUUAUUGGGCGUAAAGAGCUCGUAGGCGGUUUGUCGCGUCUGCUGUGAAAACUCGAGGCUCAACCUCGGGCUUGCAGUGGGUACGGGUAGACUAGAGUGCGGUAGGGGAGACUGGAAUUCCUGGUGUAGCGGUGGAAUGCGCAGAUAUCAGGAGGAACACCGAUGGCGAAGGCAGGUCUCUGGGCCGCAACUGACGCUGAGGAGCGAAAGCAUGGGGAGCGAACAGG
RNAcentral lists this ribosomal RNA (253 nucleotides) under uncultured bacterium. RNAcentral's name for it is "partial 16S ribosomal RNA". It matches the Rfam family "Bacterial small subunit ribosomal RNA", at positions 524 to 776 of the family's 1533-position model. The record is from RNAcentral.